GACGAACGCUGGCGGCGUGCUUAACACAUGCAAGUCGAACGAAGUGGCGAACGGGUGAGUAACGCGUAAUCAACCCGCCCUUCAGAGGGGGACAACAGUUGGAAACGACUGCUAAUACCGCAUACGGUAGGUGGGGAUUACGGCUGAUUGGCUAGUUGGAGGGGGAACGGCCCACCAAUGAGAAGAUCAGUAGCCGGUCCGAGAGGAGGAACGGCCAAAUUGGGACUGAGGCACGGCCCAGACUCCUAAGGGGGGCAGCAGGGGGGAAUCUUCCGCAAUGGACGAAAGUCUGGCGGAGCAACGCCGCGUGGGUGAUAACGGCCUUCGGGUUGUAAAGCUCUGUUAAUCGGGACGCGGUACCGGAAUAGAAAGCCACGGCUAACUACGUGCCAGCCGCCGCGGUAAUAC
This 408-nucleotide ribosomal RNA is filed under the name uncultured bacterium. RNAcentral describes it as "partial 16S ribosomal RNA". It matches the Rfam family "Bacterial small subunit ribosomal RNA", at positions 28 to 526 of the family's 1533-position model. The record is from RNAcentral.